RNAcentral lists this small RNA (1236 nucleotides) under Arabidopsis thaliana (thale cress). RNAcentral's name for it is "ATSL210330". Lineage: Eukaryota; Viridiplantae; Streptophyta; Magnoliopsida; Brassicales; Brassicaceae. The record is from RNAcentral.
UUUAUUUAAUACUAUAUUUUAAUUGGAUAUUUUUUUUUUGUAUAUCUUUAGGUUUCAUAAAUAAUUUAAAAUAUAUUAGCUUUUUGUACUUUGUAAAUAUUUGAUAUGAGUUCAUUCAAACAUAUUAUGGGUAGCUAGAACCGCUUGAUCUAUAUUUGUUCCGCUAUAACCGCUCGAACCACAUUUAUUCUAUUUGAUCCGCUUAAUCCGCUCUGCUAGAUCAGUUUUCCCCAUUAGAAGUCGUAGUGUUUAGAUUACGUACAUUAUAUAACACAUUGUGUUAACACUUUUGAACCACAAACAGUUCAGUAAUAUUUUUAUUAUUAGAAGAUUGUUAAUAUUUGUGAAUGGAAACUAAUGUGUUUUGUCUCAAUUUUACUGACAGACCGCUUUUCUUCCGCUACCCAUUCAAACCCGAUAUAACUCAAUGGUAGGAUGUGAAUAAAUGGUUCAGUGUUAUUGUAGGUUUAUAAGACAAUGGUGAGAUUUGACUAGUAUUCUAUCUAAUGUUUUGAUUCAUAUAAGUACAUUAACAAACAAUGUGCUUUAUUUUUUAAAGAAACAAGCUAUAAUAAAGAGGGAUUUUGGGAUAAUUAUGAUACUGAGCCCAAUGAAAAAGUCUUCAAUUUCAAAAUGGAAUUACUGGAGAAGCAAAUCCAAGAAACAAAAGUGAUCGUGGAGAAGAGGACUUAUUGUACUGAAAAAGUUAUUUCUAGUGCUUAUUUACUCUAUACGCAUCUUAGUGGAUUGACAGAGUGAGCUGGAAAAGUUCAUUCUUUCCGGAGAAAUUCAAGAGAGCUAGCUUCGGUCUUAGCUCACCUGAAAAAAAAACAGAAUUGUCAAGUAAGGGUUGACCGAAGUCAGUUAUGUACCUGAGAAUCAACCAAUAAAAAAUAGAUAAAGAAAAGUGUGAUAUGAGUAGGCAAAACUAAAUAGUGCAUGUAGGGUAAACGAGGACUCUGGUCAGCUUUGAGCUGUCGAGUAAGGAGUGGCGGGCCUUUGGAAACCCGAGAAAAGCAGGGGAGUACUCUAUACAGUGCGUUCUAUUAUGAACAAAACUUGGGUUCACUCCUAAAAGAUGAACCUCUUUAUUCACCUCUCUUUCAAUUACCCAAUAAAAACUUGCCAUGUCAUGUUAUAUUUAAACUAAAUAAUAAAUUAAGAAAACGAAAAAGGAAAUAAAAUCUGGUUAUUCACCCUCAUUAACGUUGACAUCCAUCAUCUCCUAUUUUUUUU